Gallus gallus (chicken) is the source of this 1242-nucleotide long non-coding RNA. The record is from Ensembl. NCBI's taxonomy places the organism in Eukaryota, Metazoa, Chordata, Aves, Galliformes, Phasianidae.
UUUGAAGAUGAAUUCCUUUGUUCUCAAGAAGUUCCCCAUGUUACCGGUGCUUGAGGUUAACGAUGAGCCCGUUAUAUCGAGAGUUGAGUGGGAGCUUGGGCCUUGCUGGAAAGGGCAACCAGGAGUACUGCAGGGAAAGGAGGGAAGAUUUAACAUGAAGAAGUGGUAAGAAAUAGAGAAAGGGAUAUGGGAGAUAUAGGACAUAAGGUAGAACUGAAAUCAUUUUGAUAAAGGACAGAUAACAAAAGUUCCGGUGACAUAUGCCACAUAUUCAGCCUUGCAUAGUGAGGUUAAUGAGUCCUUCCCAAAACCCUUGUGGGGCCUGCUGCGAGACCAGUAGUGUGUCCUGGUACGGGGACUGUGCCUGUGGGACCAGGGCACUGGAAGCAGGCAAUGGCCAGGUCAUCUCAUCAAACACACUGACUGCAGAGCAACGUUUAGUGCCUGACACGAGAUAUUCACAGAGGAAGUCAGAACCUGGAUGACUUUGUGACAAAAACACUGCAAAUGUGAGAGUGCUGCUGUGCUGAGAAUGACUUUGAGAAUAAACUGAUUUUGGAUGAUUACCUAUCUUUAAAAUGUUUUUUUGAAAAAUCAGAUUGUAACACUCUAAAGUAUUAAACUUCAGUGCAAACUUAUGGCAAUAUUCAGCGCUACCCACAACAUAGAUCAUAGAAAGCAGUUCCACCUAGUCCAGGCUUUUCUUUAGUAAUGAAAAUACCAAUGUCCAAAGUUGUUCAUUUAAGGUAAGGUGUCUCUCUUUUCCUUUCCAUUCUCUUUCCAUCACUUAAAAUGCAAAUGCUUUGGAAUAGAGUUGGUUUAGAAAGUGUGAAAGAGAUUGUAAUAGACUCAGAGUGGAGCAUGCUGAGUUUUGUAGGUGCUGUCAGUGAGACACUCCCUGCUUCAGUGAUGGGAUGGGAAGGCUGAUCUGAAGCCAUUCUGAGUAGUUUUGCAUCAAAAGAGAAUCUGUUCCUUGGUUUUCACCAUUACCAGUCAAUAAGAAGCAUUCCCACUUGGAUAUUUUAGGAUUUGAGGUGGAGUCAGAGCUUUCCAACUAUUUGCCUAAAAAUGCCUUAAAAAACUAUUUCCUGUUGUGUUGCCACACUGGAAUAACAGUGCUAAAAAGAGAAAACUGAGUCAGAGAGAAACUAGAGGCAAUGUAAGGCAGAACAAUUUCAAGUAAAGUGGUUUAUAAUGACUAAGAUCUGAAGUAUGUUCAUUUCCCUAUUGGCAAGAUCAGAG